CAGAGUUCAGUUAACUGAACACCCAAAAGAAGGAGAAUCCAGUUCGCUCGAUUCCUUAGGGGCUCCACUUGUGUGGGACAGUACUAAAAGAGUCCUUUUGUGGUUAGUUUUGGACUCACCAAGCCACGGCUGGGUGACAACAGAAGAGGAAUCACAAAUAUUAUCCAAAUGGCAAAGACGAUUGCCUGGCACACUUGCCAGCAGCCCAGCCAAUGGAAAUCUGAAUUUCCUUAACCUCCUUUUCUCCAACCUAUUUCUGUAACAUCGCGGCAGCUUCCUGGAGACAGCCAGAGAAUCCACAGCUCCUAGUAUCAGAAGGCACAGGUAGGGGUGGCUUUGAGCAAUUUUGAGCAAGCCGAAGGCUCCAAUUAAAAGGAAAGGACAGAGAGCGGCAAGCUGUUCAAGUCAAACCGAAUGACUGCAUAUCCUCCGCGAGGCAGUUGGAAGGAAUCGUGUUUUACCUCACUACUGCUGCGCUCCUCCUCGCCUGUCAGCCAGCCAAGGGAUCCCCCAAAGCUCUUACGUAGGAGAUACCAAAUCUGUGAGUCACUUUGCAAUCCCAGAGCAGAGCAAGUCCACUGUAUUUUGCACGCAACCACAGAGCCAAGAUGGGGGUUUCCUCGGAGUCAUCAAGAUGAGGUCUCGGGACCCAGAUGCCCAGCCAGCCCUGGCUUCUUGUUUCUUGCUGUUGCUCCCUCUUUCUCUUCCUCCUUGACCAUGCCUUCACCUGGAAGCGUUCUGCUGUGUUCCUCUUCCUCUCUGUGCUGCUGACAGCCACAGACCCAGCCAGAGCUGGGUCCCUCUCGCCUUCUGUUAGUUUUCUUCCCCUGCAGCAGCCUUUGGCUGCUACCUCUGCGAGCUGGAUCACCAAAGACACACGACUCACUCACAAUGAAUAAUCAAUACGGAUAUUGAUCUGGGGAAAAUGUUUGUAAAUUCCUGAAAGGGAAUCAGGAGCAGGGGCCAGGGAGGCUCGUGGGGGACGACGCUGCAGUGCUCAGGGCGCCAGGAGGCAGAACCGCUCUUGGAUCCCCAGGUUUUGCUGGCUCCAAGGUGACGGUACCGGAAUGCGUGCGGAUGGACGAGGGCGCGCGCGUGUGAGCACAGUGCUGCCUUCUCAUUUCUCUACAGCUGCUUCCCCCGAAGAAUCAAGAGCCAAAUGGUCGGGAGCCCCCGUCAGCGCCAUGUCUUGGCUGCGGGCCAGCACUGUUUUGUUUUCAUUAUCACACGCUACUUUGCAAUUUGCAUAAAUACAGGGUUAUUUUUUAUCGUGUCGCCCAAAAGAUAGGAAAAAAAAAAAAAAAUAGAAGUCUUUGUUGUGUGCAAGGGGGGCUUGCUGCCUACUCAUCGGGACUGAAGAUUUACCUCCCAGGCAGGGCUUUGGAGCCGGUGUAGAGGGCUUCAGGAGAAAUAGGGCAAAAAAGUGAUAAUCACAGAGAAAAUGAAUGCAGGAGAGAAAGAAAGAAUUUAAUGAAAGCUGCAGGGCACUCAGCUCGGUCGGGGAAACCAAGUGUUAAGGACCCACUUUCCUUGGUGGAGAAGUGGUAGGGUCUUAGACAAGGAGGGAGAGGUCUCUGGCCAGGGGCCUGGUGAGAGGCACUACGGAUUGUGUGGGAAUGAACCGUGGUGCAUGAGGCGAGAGCCACGUACCCCAGAGAGCACGCGCUGGCUUUAGCCCCAUGGCCAUCCAAGAUGCGGAAACCUGAGCACAGAUGGAGCCGGGUCUCUCAGCUGAUGGCUUUCCCGUAGCUCAGAGCUUUUACUCCUGGUCAUUUUCUUUACCUUCCCUGCAGUAGUUCAGUUACACUCCCUGAAUUGUACCCAGCCAAGCUUUGAAUGGAAUUUGCCACCUCCCCUUAGCUCUCUUGCCCUCAGAAGAGUGGGCACAGCGCAUGAUAAGCCGUGGCUUUGUCCUGCAUACUCCUCUUGGCUGUGGCCAUGAGGCCUCAGACUCCCGAAGUCGUGCCCCAAAGCAGUACAGGACGUGCUCACCGCAGGAAAACCUUCCGGCUCUCUUGGCCUUUGGGUGAUCGGCAUCCCCCCGACUGUGCCCUCUGGUCCUUUCUUCUCUCCCUCCUCACUCUGUUUUUGCAAUCUGGUAAUAAAAUGUCUCUUUGGAAUCA
Molecule: long non-coding RNA, 2123 nt
Organism: Cavia porcellus (domestic guinea pig)
Lineage: Eukaryota; Metazoa; Chordata; Mammalia; Rodentia; Caviidae
Exons: 2
Source: RefSeq, a predicted model, not a curated record